Molecule: ribosomal RNA, 505 nt
Filed under: uncultured bacterium
Lineage: Bacteria
Description: partial 16S ribosomal RNA
Rfam family: Bacterial small subunit ribosomal RNA
Source: RNAcentral
GACGAACGCUGGCGGCGUGCCUAAUACAUGCAAGUAGAACGCACAGUUUAUACCGUAGCUUGCUACACCAUAGACUGUGAGUUGCGAACGGGUGAGUAACGCGUAGGUAACCUGCCUGGUAGCGGGGGAUAACUAUUGGAAACGAUAGCUAAUACCGCAUAAUAUUAAUUAUUGCAUGAUAAUUGAUUGAAAGAUGCAACUGCAUCACUACCAGAUGGACCUGCGUUGUAUUAGCUAGUAGGUGAGGUAACGGCUCACCUAGGCGACGAUACAUAGCCGACCUGAGAGGGUGAUCGGCCGCACUGGGACUGAGACACGGCCCAGACUCCUACGGGAGGCAGCAGUAGGGAAUCUUCGGCAAUGGACGAAAGUCUGACCGAGCAACGCCGCGUGAGUGAAGAAGGUUGUCGGAUCGUAAAGCUCUGUUGUAAGAGAAGAACGGGUGUGAGAGUGGAAAGUUCACACUGUGACGGUAUCUUACCAGAAAGGGACGGCUAACUACGUG